Molecule: ribosomal RNA, 429 nt
Filed under: uncultured bacterium
Lineage: Bacteria
Description: bacterial SSU rRNA
Rfam family: Bacterial small subunit ribosomal RNA
Source: RNAcentral
UGGGGAAUUUUGGACAAUGGGGGCAACCCUGAUCCAGCCAUGCCGCGUGAGUGAAGAAGGCCUUCGGGUUGUAAAGCUCUUUCGGCCGGGAAGAAAUCGCACAGGCUAAUACUCUGUGUGGAUGACGGUACCGGCAUAAGAAGCACCGGCUAACUACGUGCCAGCAGCCGCGGUAAUACGUAGGGUGCGAGCGUUAAUCGGAAUUACUGGGCGUAAAGCGUGCGCAGGCGGUUAGAUAAGUUUGAUGUGAAAUCCCCGGGCUCAACCUGGGAACUGCAUUGAAGACUGUCUGACUAGAGUACGGCAGAGGGGGGUGGAAUUCCACGUGUAGCAGUGAAAUGCGUAGAGAUGUGGAGGAACACCGAUGGCGAAGGCAGCCCCCUGGGCCGAUACUGACGCUCAUGCACGAAAGCGUGGGGAGCAAACAGG